GACGAACGCUGGCGGCGUGCUUAACACAUGCAAGUCGAACGGAAAGGCCCUGCUUUUGUUGGGUUCUCGAUUGGCGAACGGGUGAGUAACACGUGAGUAACCUGCCCUUGACUUUGGGAUAACUUCAGGAAACUGGGGCUAAUACCUGAUAGGAUCUCCUGCUGCAUGUUGGGGGUUGGAAAGUUUCGGCGGUUGGGGCUGGACUCGCGGCUUAUCAGCUUGUUGGUGGGGUAGUGGCUUACCAAGGCUUUGACGGGUAGCCGGCAUGAGAGGGUGAACGGCGACAUUGGGACUGAGAUAAGGACCAGACUCCUACGGGAGGCAGAAGUGGGGAAUAUUGCACAAUGGGCGGAAGCCUGAUGCAGAAAAGCAGCGGGCGGGAUGACGGCCUUCGGGUUGUAAACCGAUUUCGAAUGUGACGAAGCGUGAGUGACGGUAAUGGGUAAAGAAGCACCGGCUAACUACGUG
RNAcentral lists this ribosomal RNA (468 nucleotides) under uncultured bacterium. Its description in RNAcentral is "partial 16S ribosomal RNA". It matches the Rfam family "Bacterial small subunit ribosomal RNA", at positions 28 to 507 of the family's 1533-position model. The record is from RNAcentral.